GAUGAACGCUGGCGGCGUGCCUAAUACAUGCAAGUCGAACGGAAAGGCCCUGCUUUUGCGGGGUUCUCGAGUGGCGAACGGGUGUGUAACACGCGUGUAACCCCUCCCUGUCUUUGUGGUAACUUUACGAAACUGGGGCUAAAAUCCCAUAUGAGCUCCUGCUCCACAGUGGGGGUUGGAAAGUGUCGGCGGUUGGGGAUGGUCUGGCGGGUUAUCCGCCUGUUGGUGGGGUUGUGGCUUUCCAAGGUUUCGACGGGUAGCCGGCCUGAGAGGGUUACCGGCGACAUUGGGACUGAGAUACGGCCCAGACUCCUACGGGAGGCAGCGGGGGGGAGUAUUGCACAAUGGGCGGAAGCCUGAGGCAGAAACGCCGCGUGCGGGAUGACGGCCUUCGGGUUGUAAACCGCUUUCGCCGGUGACGAAGCGUGAGUGACGGUAAUGGGUAAAGAAGCACCGGCUAACUACGUG
RNAcentral lists this ribosomal RNA (468 nucleotides) under uncultured bacterium. RNAcentral describes it as "partial 16S ribosomal RNA". It matches the Rfam family "Bacterial small subunit ribosomal RNA", at positions 28 to 507 of the family's 1533-position model. The record is from RNAcentral.